This is a long non-coding RNA of Cimex lectularius (bed bug), 386 nucleotides long. RefSeq lists it as uncharacterized. Lineage: Eukaryota; Metazoa; Arthropoda; Insecta; Hemiptera; Cimicidae. The record is from RefSeq and is a predicted model, not a curated record. The transcript is spliced from 2 exons.
GUAGUUAUAAGUAAGUGUUCUAUCGGCCAAUUUUGACCCAUAUUUUUUUAAUUAUGAAAAUUUAACCAAUAAUCCAUCAUCAAUAAACAAAGAGUACUCACUGGUACGCUGAAAACUUCGAAAUGUUCGAAUCAUACGAUGACUAAAGGAUGCCGCCGAUACAAAAGAUAGGAGAUGACUGAGGAUGAAGGAGUGGCCAUGGUCUAGAACUGGGAUUCACACAACUUUUCCCUUUCUUUUUUAAUCAAUCCCUCGCCCGAAAUGAAAUUCGAUAGCCUUGUAAAACUUGUCCGGUCUUUAUAAUCAAUAUGUAGGGUACACUUUUUUUUUUUUAAUUAAGCACGAUUUUUCUAGACUUAGAAAUAUAAUAAACCCAGGUUGGUUUA